Arabidopsis lyrata subsp. lyrata is the source of this 45-nucleotide non-coding RNA. Lineage: Eukaryota; Viridiplantae; Streptophyta; Magnoliopsida; Brassicales; Brassicaceae. The record is from Rfam.
UCCAAGGCUCCAUUCGGAGCCAUUCACAGCCUAAGAAAAAUCCAG